CCAGGUGAUUCCAUACUCCUGUUCCCAGGUGAUUCCAUGUUCCUGUUCCCAGGUGAUUCCACGCUCCCGUUCCCAGGUGAUGUUCCCAGGUGAUUCCAUGCUCCUGUUCCAGGUGAUUCCAUGUUCCUGCCCCAGGUGAUUUCCCG
This is a long non-coding RNA of Poecile atricapillus (Black-capped chickadee), 146 nucleotides long. RefSeq lists it as uncharacterized. Lineage: Eukaryota; Metazoa; Chordata; Aves; Passeriformes; Paridae. The transcript has 3 exons. The record is from RefSeq and is a predicted model, not a curated record.